Paramacrobiotus metropolitanus is the source of this 2207-nucleotide RNA transcript. RefSeq lists it as uncharacterized. The record is from RefSeq and is a predicted model, not a curated record. Lineage: Eukaryota; Metazoa; Tardigrada; Eutardigrada; Parachela; Macrobiotidae. The transcript has 7 exons.
CAACAGCAUGCUUUCUGAAAAAAGUCAGAUCAGCAACGAUUGUGAGCAGGCAACCUGUCUGUAUUUCCUCUCUCGCCCUUAUGUAUUUACAUACAGAAGUGUAACUUGCUUUCUUAUGUUUUCUUAGGUUAAACAGUUUUUUAUAUCUUCUUGAGUAUAGUAAGUCCGUACUAUUUUUAAGUCCGUGUGCUUUUGGAUCCAUAUGACAGAGCCGAUUUAUAUAUGCGAACAACAUAUGCUGCAAGACACUGGCGGCCGGCUGUUCCCAUCAGAUUUGAACCUUCGUCACGUGCUAUGUGUGGGCGUUGCGUCGGGAUGCUUGGUCCGGUGUGGUCCAUUGCGGUGCGAUGACCAGUGCGAGGUAGUCCAAGUGUGUACGACUGCAGGGCGCAGCCAGCCUAUCGCCAGCUCACUGCCUGCCUGACCUCUAUGUAUUCAUACCCGAUUCAAGCAAAACACUUUUACUACUUUACUCGCCUCCGAUGUUUUUUGAAGGCAGAACAGACAGGAUGCAUGCUUGCAGCCGGAUUCCAUCUGAUCUCAGACAGCACGCUGUUGCCGCGUUCUGCCAUUAUGAGUACAAGGUCGACUGUUGGGUAUGGAGACAUCUCACCGAAAUCAACGCUUGUUCAAAUGCUUUGCAUCAUGUUUAUAGUGGAGCACUGGCGUCAUUUGCUUCUUCUAUACCAGAAAUUCACAAAAUCAUCAGCAAUUUGCAAAAGUUUACGAAACCAUACCUACCGGCGCGGGGCACGCAGCACAUAAUUGUUUCCGGCAACAUUACCAUCGAAACCAUGCGGUCCUUAGUCAAUGACCUUAGUCGGCCAGACCGACGUCAAAGGAAACUGGAUAGAAGUAUAGUCUUCGUUAUGUAAUUCUGGAUAACUAUUGUACCUUAACAGAGAAUAACCGGAUAUCGAAAUGAAAAUUUCUUAAGGAAGUGCAGACAUAUAAUGUGCGCUACGUGGAAGGCAGUCUCCUGCUUGCAGAAUACGAAGGUCCACGAGGCCGAAGCAUACCUCCAUUUAGUCCAUUAGGCAUUAGCCAAUCGACGAUCGGAUGAUCCGGAAAAGAUGAUUCUACGACCUUACUCACAAACCAAGGAUGAUUCAGGGUCAUUUCUCGACGCUGUUUUGCAACCAAUUAUCCCCUUUAUUCCCUUGGGAGCAGCAUUUUUGCUGCUUUAUAUUCUCUAUACUGGAUUAUUCUGGAUUAUUCUAUACUGGAUUAUCUCCUGGUUACAAUAAAUGCGUUCCCGAAAACAGACUGCAACGAGUCUUUGAUAACUGUUAUAACUGUCAAUUCAAAUAUUUCCAAAUAAAAUUUAUGGAUUUUGUGAAACAUAUGGGAUGGUUUUGUCAUUACGGGAAACCAUUUACAGUUUUACACAACUUAUCUGUACGUGUGAUUCAUGACAUUUAAGUGUUUAUGUGUCGGUAAGCCAAAAUAUGAAAGGAAAGAAACAAUUAUAUAUGCAUAAAUAAUUUAAUUUUUUACUAAAAAAAUAUUAUGACCUACUGUACCUAUUAACGAAAGCUAAGCACGAGGUAUAAUACAACUUUCCAAAGCACCUUACAUGGCAACAAUGAGUGCGCCAUAUAACUAGCUACAGAAGUAUAGAAUUAUCUGUAAAGUACUAUACGGUCUCUACAAAGAAUAAGUGCAUUGGUUAUUAUUAUGUUACACUAAAAUCUUCAAAAUUAAUACUGUCCAAUAACAUUGUUGCUAUCAAAGAGGUAUCUACAAUACAAUAUUAUACCAAUUGCGCACAGGCGCAUCACGGACAUACUUACAUCGAUUUUCACGGUGCACAGACAUACAAAGAUGGCAAAAACCGCGCCCGUUUGCACGUCUUGCAUGUAUGUAUGUGCGGGCCAAACCCGACCGCGUGCGCACAACAGCCGUGACGCACAGACUUCAAUACAAAAUUACAAACCUCCGCUGCCUUGUGGUUUCUAAGUUCUGCCAGAGUAUUUUGCCGUAAAUAAUGAUGCAAACGUCUGAUGAGCAGGAAAAAAGGGGUUGCAGUAUCGAUAAUUUGAUAAUUUUAUAACAAUUCAAAAGUGAACGACGUUCUACAAUAACUAUAAGCAGACCUAAAAAUACCUCUGGUAGCCAGAUCAAGCGGGAACCCGCUACGCUGCCACACUUUCAAACACGAGUAACUGUUGUGGUAGAAAAUACAGAACGAAAAUCACAUCACCUCA